RNAcentral lists this ribosomal RNA (497 nucleotides) under uncultured bacterium. Its description in RNAcentral is "partial 16S ribosomal RNA". It matches the Rfam family "Bacterial small subunit ribosomal RNA", at positions 28 to 507 of the family's 1533-position model. The record is from RNAcentral.
GAUGAACGCUGGCGGCGUGCCUAAUACAUGCAAGUCGAGCGAACAGACGAGGAGCUUGCUCCUCUGACGUUAGCGGCGGACGGGUGAGUAACACGUGGAUAACCUACCUAUAAGACUGGGAUAACUUCGGGAAACCGGAGCUAAUACCGGAUAAUAUAUUGAACCGCAUGGUUCAAUAGUGAAAGACGGUUUUGCUGUCACUUAUAGAUGGAUCCGCGCCGCAUUAGCUAGUUGGUAAGGUAACGGCUUACCAAGGCGACGAUGCGUAGCCGACCUGAGAGGGUGAUCGGCCACACUGGAACUGAAACACGGUCCAGACUCCUACGGGAGGCAGCAGUAGGGAAUCUUCCGCAAUGGGCGAAAGCCUGACGGAGCAACGCCGCGUGAGUGAUGAAGGUCUUCGGAUCGUAAAACUCUGUUAUUAGGGAAGAACAAAUGUGUAAGUAACUAUGCACGUCUUGACGGUACCUAAUCAGAAAGCCACGGCUAACUACGUG